Molecule: non-coding RNA, 1359 nt
Organism: Phalacrocorax carbo (great cormorant)
Lineage: Eukaryota; Metazoa; Chordata; Aves; Suliformes; Phalacrocoracidae
Source: RefSeq, a predicted model, not a curated record
UACAGCAUCUACCUCAAGACAUUGGCGAACGGGCGCAGAUUUGCUAAAAAUCGCUGCGCCCGUGAGCCUGGGUGUCGGGAAAGAGCUGCCGAAGGCACCGACCUCCAGGCCAUGCCUCGUCCCCUCCCUGCCCUGCCCAGGCAAAGGCCACCGCUGACUUCCUAACGCUCUUCCUGCUCGGCUAGAAGCUGCUCUCUGGGGUUAUUUUGCCUUCUGCAUUUAUUUAUUUAACAUCAAAAAAUGCCAUCCAUUAACCACAAUGGGUAAAAACGAUAAUAUUUUGCAUGUGCCUGGGGUUUCCUCCUCGAAGCUCUUUACAAACAGCACGAAAUCAAUUCUCACAGUGGGCUGGGCAGGUCAGUGCCUAUAUUAAUGUAUAGAUAUUCCCACAAAUGGCUGAGGAUGGCGUGCAGGAUUUACACCGGUGCAACUGAGAAGUCAGUCAAGACCUGGGGAAGGCAGCGGCUGGGUCAGGACCGGAGCUCAGGAUUACCAGAGUCCCCAGCUUAAACCCCGCUCUCGGCUUUCUGCAGAGUCCGGUUACGAGGAUGUAACCUGGGAUGAGGCGUCCCACCUAAAUCUGCUGCCGGCAUUUGAUCUACCUCCACGGAAAGCUGCAGUUAUUCCAUAAAACCAGUCACUGAGGAGCGGUGCCAAAAGGUAAUUCUGAAGCUGGAGAAACUCUGCGGAGAACCAUGGUGGAGUCAGCGGAGCAGCACGGGAAGCACUAACGUGGUCCUGCCCAGCACACGCCUCCACCGCCCCAUCGCUGCCCCGGCAUGCUGGCUUCAGGGGCAAAGCAAAACCCGCAGAACUCAGGCGAGUGUCGAAGCCCACCCAGCAAAGGGAGUACAGGAUUUUGGGGGGCGCAUCAGCAAAACGGCGAUUGCCACCCGGCCAACGGCCACAGGCCAUUGCGAGGGGCGAUGCAAUGGAGGGAGGACGAUGCUGUUGGCCUGGCCGCGCCGUGGAAGCUGGUGGUGAAAGCCCGCACCGUUAAAACGAGUCUUCAAGGGUUGUGCUGGAGCCUGAGCAUUCCUUGGCGUCGGUUGAAGCCGCAGGGGUUUGGCAGAGCGGCCGCAGUUAUGCCCGGUCCCUCUGCAAAUAGUGUUGGCAAUUUCAGGGAGCAGAAUAACGUCCCAGCGCUGCCAAAAGCCACAGUGAUUAUCAGCAGUGUAAGUAAUCAAGUAAAAGCAUUUUUCCACAGCCGAAUGACCAGAUUGUCAAGCAUGGGAAGAGUAGUAGCUAGAAUUGAUUGCAGCUCACAUGGAUAAUUUCUACCAGAAUUACGUUAUUGUAUUGAAACAGUAAUGCAUAAUGUAUGGCCGUGCAUCUCUGCAAUAAACAUUUUACAUUUAA